Molecule: RNA transcript, 4530 nt
Organism: Numida meleagris (helmeted guineafowl)
Lineage: Eukaryota; Metazoa; Chordata; Aves; Galliformes; Numididae
Gene: MED15
Gene name: mediator complex subunit 15
Exons: 19
Source: RefSeq, a predicted model, not a curated record
GGGAAAGCAAGAGGUUGAGCGAUGAAGCUAUGAGGAAGGCUGGUGUUGCCCAUAACAAGUCCAGCAAAGAUAUGGAGAGCCACGUGUUUAUGAAGGCCAAAACAAGGGAGGAGUAUCUUUCUCUUGUGGCCAGGCUUAUUAUCCAUUUUCGAGACAUCCACAAUAAGAAAUCUCAAGCCUCAGUCAGUGAUCCGAUGAAUGCCCUGCAGAAUCUAACUGGGGGUCCCCCAGCAGGGGCGCCUGGAAUGACCAUUGCUUCCCGAGCUCAAGGAGCACCGAUGAGUGGGAUGGCUGGCCUUGGUCCAAUGGGGCAACAGAUGAGUCUCCCAGGACAGCAACAGCCUCCUGGAAGCUCAGGAAUGGCCUCUCAUGGUAUGCCUGGUGUCUCUACAGCUACUCAGCAGACCCAGCUUCAGCUUCAGCAGAUAGCUCAGCAGCAACAGCAGCAGCAGCAACAAUUCCAGCAGCAACAGGUGGCUUUGCAGCAGCAGCAGUUCCAAGCCCAGCAAUCAGCCAUGCAACAACAGUUUCAGGUGCAGCAGCAGCAGGCAGCAGCAGCUGCAGCAGCCCAACAGCAGCAGCAGCAACAGCAACAGUUGCAAGCUGUCCAGCAACAGCAACACAUGUUGAAACUGCAGAUGCAGCAGCAGCAAAACCAACAGCAGAUGCAGCAGCAACAGCAGCAGCAGCAACUACAGCGAAUAGCCCAAAUACAGCAGCUGCAAGCAGCACAGGCUAUGCAGGUACAACAGCAGCAGCAACAGCAGCAGCAACAACAGCAACAAAUACCACAGCAACAGCUACAGCAGCAGCCACCUCAACAAGUAAUGCAACAGCAGAUGCAACAGAUGCAGCAGCAGCAGCAACAGCAACAACAGGUUGCGCAGGCACAACAAUCUCAGCUUCCACCACAAUCCCAGCCUCAACCCCAGCCCAUGGUAUCUCAGGCACAGGCAAUCUCAGGGCAAAUUCCUGGUCAGGUUAUGCCUGUUACUCUUACGCCACAGCAAUUAAAAGCAAUGCAGGUAAGAGCUCAGCUGGUCCAGCAGCAGCAUGCAGCAGCAGCAGCAGUGCAAGCAGCUCAGGCUCAAGCUGCUCAGAUGGGAGCUUCAGCACAGAUGAUCACCGCACCUAUGGCCCGAGGUGGGAUGCAAAUAAGACCACGGUUCCCGCCUACCACCGCAGUGUCUGCUACACCGCCAAGCUCCAUUCCUAUGGGCGGACAGCAAAUGCCACAGGUCAGCCAGAACAGCAUUACCAUGAUGUCAUCCCCAUCUCCUGUCCAGCAAGCUCAAACACCCCAAUCAAUGCCUCCACCACCACAGCCGCAGCCAUCUCCUCAACCAGGCCAACCAAAUUCUCAGCCAAACUCAAAUGUGAGCUCUGGCCCAGCUCCAUCGCCCAGCAGCUUUCUCCCCAGUCCAUCUCCACAACCGUCACAGAGCCCAGCAGCUGCACGAACACCUCAGAACUUUAGUGUCCCAUCCCCAGGUCCUUUAAACACUCCAGGAAAUCCAAACUCUGUCAUGAGUCCUGCCAGUUCUAGCCAGUCAGAGGAGCAACAAUAUCUGGAGAAACUCAAACAGCUGUCAAAAUAUAUUGAGCCACUCCGGAGGAUGAUCAAUAAAAUUGAUAAAAAUGAAGAUAGAAAGAAGGACCUGAGUAAAAUGAAGAGUCUCUUGGAUAUCCUGACUGACCCUUCGAAACGAUGCCCUCUGAAGACACUGCAGAAAUGCGAAAUUGCGUUGGAGAAGCUAAAGAAUGAUAUGGCUGUGCCUACUCCACCACCUCCCCCAGUGCCUCCCACCAAACAGCAGUACUUGUGUCAGCCACUUUUGGAUGCUGUCUUGGCCAACAUCCGCUCACCAGUCUUCAACCAUUCCCUUUACCGCACCUUUAUGCCAGCUAUGACUGCAAUUCAUGGUCCACCAAUCACGGCCCCAGUUAUCUCCUCUCGAAAACGAAAAUAUGAAGAGGAUGACAGACAGACUAUACCAAAUGUAUUACAAGGUGAAGUCGCAAGAUUAAAUCCUAAGUUCCUGGUGAAUCUGGACCCCUCCCACUGCAGUAAUAAUGGCACAGUUCAUCUCAUAUGCAAGCUAGAUGACAAGAAUCUUCCAAAUGUCCCACCACUACAGCUCAGCGUUCCAGCAGACUAUCCAGAUCAGAGCCCCUUGUGGAUAAAAAACCCUAGACAGUAUGCAGCCAAUCCCUUCUUGCAGUCAGUGUAUCAAUACAUGACUUCAAAACUAUUGCAGCUUCCAGACAAGCAUUCAGUCACGGCACUCUUAAACACCUGGGCACAAAGUAUUCGUCAAGCCUGCCUCUCUGCUGCGUAACAUCUCACUUUCUAAAUCAUGAAGCAAGAAAUAAAGACUCAACAGCUGGCCUUUUCCACAUACCAUUGCAAAAGUCAUGGGCAUUUUGGCAAGGUUGCUUCAGAAGAAAGAAGCCUUACGGUUUUCUUGUUUCUAGAUGUCAGGUUCAGUAAGAGGACCUGGUGUUAGUUCUAGAUUUCAUGCUUUUUAUCUUCUGCCUCUGUGGACUUUUGUCAGCAUUUUCAAAUAUGCAGAAUGUGUAUAUAUGGUUCUCGAGACUGUAUUAGGAGUUUUUAUUGUCUUCUUAGAGAAGAAAUUAUUUGUGGACUUCCAUCAGGGAGUCUCAUUGGUAAAAGAGGAAGCAGGGAGAGAACGCCCUAAUUUGCUUCAAAGUUUGCUGAGUGCCAGUAUUCCUUUCACACUGUAUGUUUUGUGACCUGAUACUCCCCAGAAAUAAAAAACUGCAAAUAGAACGUGCUUGCAAACUUCCUAGUGUUUGCAGGAAUCUUUUGCCUAUUAGCCUUGCCCGGGGUUGGGAUAAAUUACAGUUUUUAAGGGCAUUCCUUAAAUGUGUGAGAUAAAUCAGGGUAAUUGUAUUGGUGGGGGGAAUGACUAAACAGAAGAAAAAUAUUUUAUAGCUUAUUUUAAAUGCUACUUUGUAUAAAUGGGUUCUGGUUAGCAUGGACCACAGUUUUCUUGCUCCAGAAUUGUGGCAGUUUGAAAGAGGAGAUACUAACGUGCACACUGACUUCCCAUAUAAAUAAAUACGUGUGUGUAAAGGUGGCGGUGAAACAACAGUUUAAAGCUCUGGUACCACAGAUCAAUCCAGCAGGCUUGUAGCCGUAUCUUCUUUACUAAUGGAAUGGAGUCAGUCUGAGGCAUCUGACUUGCUUGGAAGAGUUGAUGCAGUUUAGUGGCCACAUGGUGAGUUUUGUCCUGUUUUGUUUUGCUUCCUUUUCUCUUAAAAAGGACAAAAAGAAGUAAAAAACCAACAAAAAAACACACCACAUAGAUCAGUAGCAGAACUGACAACUAAUAUUUUGUGCCUUGAGCAAUAAUGAGCACUCUAGGUGGUUGUCAGCUGCUAUAUUGUCGGGCACUUCCAAUGAAAACACUUGCCAUGAAUAAUUAAUUUAAUUCAUUGUUUUAUUUUUCCCCGUUCUCAUGAUUUGUUUGCUCUUAUUUUCCUAGUGCAGGAAAAAAUGCAGUUUUCAGAUUUGCCAUUUAUAUCCUGCUCUAGCUCCCCGUGUUGUGCAGCAAACCUUAACAAGUCGCUGCGCUCUCUUACAGUAGUGUCAAGAAAUUGCAUUGACCUGUGUGAAUCUGUGUGAUGUCAUCAGUUUUAGUAUCUUUUUCAGUCUGGGUACUUAGUAAACACUGACUGAGGCAGCAGAAUGCUGUCAGUAUUUUGUACAUGAACUAACGCGUUAUGUUUGUUUCUAUUGUAAUAAAUUUAUUACUAUUCCAGUGUCAGAUGCUAACAUUAUACUACUCUUCCCAUGCUGAUCCUCAGAUACCAGUUCUGUUGCAUCCCUUGGAUGAUGAUUACUUUGUUCUAGGGUGAUCUCACAAGGUUAUUCUUCAAGCAGUCCUGCUUCUAAAGGAAGAGUAUUGGAGGACAGAGACGAGUUCAAAUCAUGCAAGAAAGAACUAUUAAUAGGAUUUUUUCAAACUAGAGUGAACUUUGCGGUAAACAACUGAUUCUCUUAUGUAGGUGCAAUUUCUGCUUUUCAGGUACUCACAGUUUUCUUAGAGUAUUCCUGAGAGGUAGUUUUGGCAAGCAUGUAACUCUGUGUUACUGAGUAAAAAUGUUUGUACGUGUAUUUUUUUUGUUACUUUGCUAAAGAAACAAAGCAGUGGUUGUGAUGUAUCCCUAACUUAAUUUGGAGAACAAACUUAAUGAAUGCUGUGUUUGAGGUAUCUGAACAUGUGCAGGUUGGUUUGAAGGACAGAGUCCUACAGAUGCUGUUCUUCAGCAUGGAAUAAGUUGAAUUAUAGGUCUGGGUCACUUACUAAGUUCAUAGAACCCCUUUGAGUUCUGCACCGUGCAGCCAAAUAGCCUGUAUGUCUCUAGUCUAGAUUGUUCUAUAGAUAACAAUGACUUAAUUUGUGUUUUCAGUAUGAUGGCUUAUUCUUCUCGCCCUGAAAAAAAAGUCACAGUCACUCCAAUGUGUAAGAAGGCUUUUAUAAAAAUAAAAUUUACAUUAACUAU